Molecule: long non-coding RNA, 865 nt
Organism: Engraulis encrasicolus (European anchovy)
Lineage: Eukaryota; Metazoa; Chordata; Actinopteri; Clupeiformes; Engraulidae
Exons: 2
Source: RefSeq, a predicted model, not a curated record
AGUUGUUGCUUGCUUCCAGCCAUGAACUUACUCUGCCUGCGAUAUAUAUUUUUUAUCCCGUGUUUAUUUUCUUCAGUAAAGUUGUGAACUUAAACCAAACCUCUGCAUUGGCAAAAUAAGCACAUUUAUGCACCGUUUCUUCAUUGGUGGCUGGGCACCGCGGCUGCAUCCUCUUCUUCGUGGCAUGGCACAGUAAUUGCAGGUUCAUCAGUCAGGUGGUCAGCACCCAAACUAAAACCAUGAGUCAUGGUGGCCAGGAUGACGUCCAAGAAUAGCAUCCCAGCAGGUACCCCACAGGUAAAUACAUGAGUAGUAAGUUGGGAUGAGUGUUAUUUUCUGACAUUUUACAUCACAUUUUAAUUCAGACAAUAUUGCCAAAGGAGUUAAUUAUUCAGUACUGUACCAGUACAUGAUAAUGCAUGGCUAGAUUCAUUUUAAAUAGCAUGUUUGUCUUUUCUUUUUUUCUAAUUAGAUGGGGGAGCCAACAUGAAGUGGUGUCCAGAGAGGCUUCUUCCUCUUUGGCUUUGCAGCAGCACCAGGACCUCACCAUCAGUGAUGCUGUUCCCCUCAUCCAUCGGGCCUACCCUUACAUUCCUCCCCUGAUGCACUGAUCACCUGUACCAGUUGUUGGAGUUUUCAGAAGGGCUCUAAAUUAACUUUUUUUUAUUCACUAGUAGCCAAAAUGGCUAGUAUGUUAAUCUCCAAACAUACCGGUACAUUAAAUAAUGGGUCAAAGUGCCAAGUAUGUUUUCUUUUCUACCAGCAAAACUUAAUUUUCCCAGCAUUUGGCUGGUUGGCUGGUGAGCCCUGGUUGUCAUUGAUGGUGAGUAGCUGUGAUAAUAAAUAACUGAAAUGAUGAAGUCCA